UAUGCAGCAGUAUAUUCUGUGAGCAAAACUGAGUACGCACUAGAUGUUUUCACUCUAGAUUUUAUGACCUGACAGUGAAUGUACAUUUACAGCUCUCUAGACUAUGGGGCCUCUAUAAGAUGACACCACCUGCACCCACUUGCCAUGUAUAGUUGCUUCCUAAUCUUUAACAAGACUGCUGUUUUUGCUGCAUGCUGGCUUCAGAACGGGUUUUAACCCCUGGUACCUCCAGUUAAAAUGAUUACUUUGAAAGUGAUGUGAAAGAACUGUGCCUGGAGAACUUGGAGCAGACAAUAUUCAUCUUGGUAGACCAAUGGUCUUUACUCAGUAUAAGGCAACUUCAUGAGAGCCAAUCUGGAGAACCGGGUUUGAUUCCUCACUCCUCCACUUGUAGCCAGCUGAGUGACCUUGGGUGACC
Molecule: long non-coding RNA, 418 nt
Organism: Eublepharis macularius
Lineage: Eukaryota; Metazoa; Chordata; Lepidosauria; Squamata; Eublepharidae
Exons: 3
Source: RefSeq, a predicted model, not a curated record